This 250-nucleotide ribosomal RNA is filed under the name uncultured bacterium. RNAcentral's name for it is "partial 16S ribosomal RNA". It matches the Rfam family "Bacterial small subunit ribosomal RNA", at positions 524 to 773 of the family's 1533-position model. The record is from RNAcentral.
UACGGAGGGUCCGAGCGUUAAUCGGAAUUACUGGGCGUAAAGCGCGCGUAGGCGGUUUGGUCAGUUGGAUGUGAAAGCCCCGGGCUUAACCUGGGAACUGCAUUCAAUACUGCCAGACUAGAGUACGAGAGAGGGGGGUAGAAUUUCUAGUGUAGCGGUGAAAUGCGUAGAUAUUAGAAGGAAUACCAGUGGCGAAGGCGGCCCCCUGGCUCGAUACUGACGCUGAGGUGCGAAAGCGUGGGGAGCAAAC